This 24-nucleotide non-coding RNA is filed under the name Arabidopsis thaliana (thale cress). The record is from RNAcentral. Lineage: Eukaryota; Viridiplantae; Streptophyta; Magnoliopsida; Brassicales; Brassicaceae.
CAUCUGCAAGACAACCAAGGCUGC